Molecule: long non-coding RNA, 734 nt
Filed under: Capsella rubella
Lineage: Eukaryota; Viridiplantae; Streptophyta; Magnoliopsida; Brassicales; Brassicaceae
Description: long non-coding RNA (CRUB_LNC000882)
Source: RNAcentral
GCCAAUCUUAGGCUUGGCAACACUAGGGACAGUGUUGUUUAAGUCUGGGGGAGGUAGUUACUCACAUUGUUUAUUCUUUUGGAGUUUUAUCGAGUCAGUCCAAAAAGUUUUUGUUUUAUUGAGUCAAAAUUUUUGUUGGGAACUAUGAACUCAGUCUAACGGUUUCUCUGAUUUGGAUUAACACUCUUAUGACUCUUGAUUAUGCUUGAUCUCUGAAGCGAAGUUUGGAAUGACUAUGAGCUGUAUCAACAAUCCUGAAAGCCCUUAUUCAUUGGAUAUCCAGUUGAUCUAACGUUGUCUCUACUUUUAUCAGGACUUAAUUGGACUUAGUCUCCUACCUUGGGAGUUGGAAUACAUUGGACUAGACUUCUUCUUCGAGCCGCACAAGACACUGCACUUCUUCAAAGUAUGAUUCCUUCCUUCUCUCUUCCCUUCAGCCUUUAAAAGAAACUGUGGAAAAGGCUAUAGGUAGAAGUGAUAUGAGGGAUGUCGCGUAAACCCGUGCAUACUUCGGAUCUCAUGGAUACCCGAAUAAAAAAAAAGUUAUAAAAAAAACCAGAAAAAAAGAAAAAAAAAAAGAAAAAGGAAUCGUUGAAAAAAUAAAAUGAUACCCUAGAAAAGUAGGGAGAUGUCGAUUACCUUAGAAGUGAGAAAAGGGAGAAGAAGUGAAAUCAUACGAAGAAUGUCUUGGUUCGAGAAGAGUCCAUAUGCCAUUGAUCGAUAUUCCCUCGGUA